AGAAAGAGGAGGGGGGGGGGAUAACAGAGAGGUAGACAGAGAGGGAAUGGAGACCCAGGGGAGGGGGAAAGAAAGAAUAGGAGGGGGAAAAAGGAGGGGAGAGGGCAGGCCCACUAGAGGAGAGAGAGGGGGGGAGAAGGAAACAGAAAAUGGGGAAGAGGAGGGGGGACCAGAAGAAGGGGAGACAGCACCCUGGGAGCCUUCCUCACUGGCAGAGGAGGCUCCCGAUGGGCAAAGAGACCCCCCAAAUCCCAAACGGCGGUACUAAGGUACCCCGUGCGGCCCGCGGGGGCCUACU
This is a non-coding RNA of Pelobates cultripes (western spadefoot toad), 298 nucleotides long. NCBI's taxonomy places the organism in Eukaryota, Metazoa, Chordata, Amphibia, Anura, Pelobatidae. The record is from the annotation of a GenBank genome assembly.